AUGCAUAAAUCUCAUUAACAGUGA
RNAcentral lists this non-coding RNA (24 nucleotides) under Arabidopsis thaliana (thale cress). Lineage: Eukaryota; Viridiplantae; Streptophyta; Magnoliopsida; Brassicales; Brassicaceae. The record is from RNAcentral.